RNAcentral lists this ribosomal RNA (253 nucleotides) under uncultured bacterium. Its description in RNAcentral is "partial 16S ribosomal RNA". It matches the Rfam family "Bacterial small subunit ribosomal RNA", at positions 524 to 776 of the family's 1533-position model. The record is from RNAcentral.
UACAGAGGCCACAAGCGUUAUGCGGAAUCACUGGGCUUAAAGCGUGUGUAGGCGGAGGCGUAAGUGUCUUGUGAAAUCCCCCGGCUCAACCGGGGAACCGCUGGGCAUACUGCGUCUCUUGGGCCAAUCAGGGGCAGCUGGAACAAACGGUGGAGCGGUGAAAUGCGUAGAUAUCGGUUGGAACGCCAACGGCGAAAGCAGGCUGCUGGGAUUGUGCCGACGCUGAGACACGAAAGCCAGGGGAGCGAACGGG